UUAUGGUUUCUGGUCCUUCUGGGUUACUGUGCAGCUCAGUGUUUCUAUUCUCGUUCUCCAACACCUCCUCCACCAGGAUCUACAGAUCCACCUCCUACCCACUGCAAUUCAUCUGGUGUGAUAUUGGCACCAGGAGAAGCACACACAGAUAUGACAAGAUGUUUGAGAUGUCACUGUGGAGCAGAUCUUGUACUCUACUGUUGCUCAAUGCUCAUGCACUACACAGUACCAGAGGGUUGUGUUGUUAAAGAAAAGAACUGUACACAGGAGAUUGUUCACAAAGCGGACGGAUCUCCAUGCCAAUAUCUUGCAUCUUUUUCCAGAAGGUGACAUAACAACAAA
This is a long non-coding RNA of Saccostrea echinata, 342 nucleotides long. RefSeq lists it as uncharacterized. The transcript is spliced from 3 exons. The record is from RefSeq and is a predicted model, not a curated record. Lineage: Eukaryota; Metazoa; Mollusca; Bivalvia; Ostreida; Ostreidae.